UACGAAGGGGGCUAGCGUUGCUCGGAAUCACUGGGCGUAAAGGGCGCGUAGGCGGACUUUUAAGUCAGGGGGUGAAAAUCCUGAGGCUCACGCCUACAGAACUGCCUUUUGAUACUGAGGGUCUCGAGACCGGUAGAGGUAAGUGGAACUGCGAGUGUAGAGGUGAAAUUCGUAGAUAUUCGCAAGAGCACCAGUGGCGGAAGGCGGCUUACCGUGGACCGGUUCUGACGGCUGAGGCG
Molecule: ribosomal RNA, 239 nt
Filed under: uncultured bacterium
Lineage: Bacteria
Description: partial 16S ribosomal RNA
Rfam family: Bacterial small subunit ribosomal RNA
Source: RNAcentral